Molecule: long non-coding RNA, 1175 nt
Organism: Leopardus geoffroyi (Geoffroy's cat)
Lineage: Eukaryota; Metazoa; Chordata; Mammalia; Carnivora; Felidae
Exons: 4
Source: RefSeq, a predicted model, not a curated record
GCUCCGCAGGGCUCCGCCGCGGGGUGGAGGAGGGGACGCGCCCGCCAGGAGGGGGCGGAGGGACCGCGGAGGAGGAGCCUGGGGGACCCCUGGGCAGCCCGGUCGGCUCAGGUGGGUAACUGAUAACCAGAGGGAAGUGGCUUGCCCAAGAUCCCUUGGCAAGGUUUGGCAAAGCCUGGUUCUAGAAACCAAGCCUCAGUCCUCUUGUUAUCUGUUCCUUGACAGCACCUCUUUCUUCAGACCCAGUAGCUAUGAGAACGGUUGAGGAAAUGGUGGUGAAGGUGCUGCCCAGUGAAAAACACUGAGGUGCCAAGUCUCACUGAUGCUAUGGACAGUAUACUUGCAAAAGGACAACUCUCUACCAUAGGUACUACUGAUAUUCCUACAGAGGAGGCAACUGAGACUGAAGGUGGUGAUGGAAGCAUGUUCAUGAAGCUGCUAGGUUGGAGUCAAAGCUUGAAUUCGCAACUGAAGUAUGAGGAACUUCAGAGCCACUGAAACCAUAAUGGUCUGUAACCACUAUGCUACUCUAAUAUUAUUACAGGUAAGCAAACUGAGGCUUGAAGAGGUGAAGUUGCCUGAGGUGGCUGUGGGAUCUACCAUGCCCCAAGUUCACAGGGCAUCCCAGCUUCAAACUCCUGGCCAAAUCACCUUUUUUUCCUCAUCUCCUCCUUGUCACUCUGGAAAUUGGGCUGAAUUCAGGCCAUCCUCAGAAACACAGGGUGUUGCCUCCGCAGCUGGCAGAACAGCUAGGAAAGAGGCUUUGAUACUUGCUUGCUCCUAUUUGACCCUAAAGGAAGUACAUCGUUUUAAAUUAACAAACUUUAUUUUUUAGCGAAGCUUUAGGUUCGCAAUAAAAUUGAACAGAAAGCAUAACGAAUUCACUACUCCCCUUCCCCACACACGCACCACCUGCCCCACUAUUGAUAUCCCCCCCCCCCCGCCAGAGUAAUAUGUUUGUUAUGGUUGAUGUUAUGAGCCUACCCUGAUAUAUCAUUAUCACCCAAAGCUCAUAGUUUACAUUAAGGUUCACUGUUAGUGUUAUACACUCUACGGGUUUUAGCAAAUGUGUAACUAUAUGUAUCCACCAUUAUAAAUACCAUACCAAAGAGUUUCACUGCCUUAAAAAUCCUCUGUGAUCUGCCUAUUCAUCUCUCACCCCAAACCCCAAACUU